CCGAGCGAGGGCCCCCGUGCCCGACCUCCAACCCUUUGUAAUCGAAACCUUUGUUGCCUCGGGGGCGACCCGCGACCUUCUGGUCCGGGGCCCCCGGUGGACCAUCAAACCCUGCAUUUUUGCGUCGGAUAAACGAGAAAAUUCAUUA
RNAcentral lists this unclassified non-coding RNA (148 nucleotides) under uncultured Dothideomycetes. Its description in RNAcentral is "sequence contains ITS1". The record is from RNAcentral. Lineage: Eukaryota; Fungi; Ascomycota; Dothideomycetes.